This 602-nucleotide ribosomal RNA is filed under the name uncultured Lachnospiraceae bacterium. RNAcentral's name for it is "bacterial SSU rRNA". It matches the Rfam family "Bacterial small subunit ribosomal RNA", at positions 89 to 705 of the family's 1533-position model. The record is from RNAcentral. Lineage: Bacteria; Bacillati; Bacillota; Clostridia; Lachnospirales; Lachnospiraceae.
AACUUAGUGGCGGACGGGUGAGUAACGCGUGAGUAACCUGCCUUUCAGAGGGGGAUAACAUCCUGAAAAGGACGCUAAUACCGCAUGAUAUAUUUGUGCCGCAUGGUAUGGAUAUCAAAGGAGCAAUCCGCUGGAAGAUGGACUCGCGUCCGAUUAGCUAGUUGGAGGGGUAACGGCCCACCAAGGCGACGAUCGGUAGCCGGACUGAGAGGUUGAACGGCCACAUUGGGACUGAGACACGGCCCAGACUCCUACGGGAGGCAGCAGUGGGGGAUAUUGCGCAAUGGGGGAAACCCUGACGCAGCAACGCCGCGUGAAGGAAGAAGGUUUUCGGAUUGUAACCUUCUUUUCUAAGGGACGAAGAAGUGACGGUACCUUAGGAAUAAGCUCCGGCUAACUACGUGCCAGCAGCCGCGGUAAUACGUAGGGAGCAAGCGUUGUCCGGAUUUACUGGGUGUAAAGGGUGCGUAGGCGGCAAUGCAAGUCAGAUGUGAAAUGCACGGGCUCAACCCGUGAGCUGCAUUUGAAACUGUGUUGCUUGAGUGAGGUAGAGGCAGGCGGAAUUCCCGGUGUAGCGGUGAAAUGCGUAGAGAUCGGGAGGA